This 345-nucleotide long non-coding RNA is filed under the name Brachypodium distachyon (stiff brome). Its description in RNAcentral is "long non-coding RNA (BDIS_LNC000908)". Lineage: Eukaryota; Viridiplantae; Streptophyta; Magnoliopsida; Poales; Poaceae. The record is from RNAcentral.
AACGGCCGCUUCCUAGUCACGUCUUUUUCUUUUACAUAUUUUCACUUCGUUGGAAUCUUGCAAAUCAAAAUGGCCGUAGUUGAUUUAGUAAUUUUUUUCGAAAUGAAAGACAACGGUCUAAUCUAUGUAAGUAAAAAAAAUCAGGAAAAAAUGAAUAAAAUGCAUCUGUCAUGUCACGAUAGAAUUUAGCCAAAUUUAAAUAACGCAUGAUUUUUUUUGACAUAAUUUUUUUUAGAAUCACAUAAUGUUUGUUUUUUGGGCCAACGCUCGCCCGGCCUUAUUGAUGGAUGGGCCGGGUGGCCUGGCGAGCGUAGAAGACGAUAGGUUUAGCCGUUUAGGGGUUCG